RNAcentral lists this ribosomal RNA (2578 nucleotides) under Bacillus thuringiensis. RNAcentral's name for it is "bacterial LSU rRNA". It matches the Rfam family "Bacterial large subunit ribosomal RNA", at positions 337 to 2925 of the family's 2925-position model. Lineage: Bacteria; Bacillati; Bacillota; Bacilli; Caryophanales; Bacillaceae. The record is from RNAcentral.
AGCGACCUGGAAAGGUCCGUCGUAGAGGGUAACAACCCCGUAGUCGAAACUUCGUUCUCUCUUGAAUGUAUCCUGAGUACGGCGGAACACGUGAAAUUCCGUCGGAAUCUGGGAGGACCAUCUCCCAAGGCUAAAUACUCCCUAGUGAUCGAUAGUGAACCAGUACCGUGAGGGAAAGGUGAAAAGCACCCCGGAAGGGGAGUGAAAGAGAUCCUGAAACCGUGUGCCUACAAAUAGUCAGAGCCCGUUAACGGGUGAUGGCGUGCCUUUUGUAGAAUGAACCGGCGAGUUACGAUCCCGUGCGAGGUUAAGCUGAAGAGGCGGAGCCGCAGCGAAAGCGAGUCUGAAUAGGGCGUUUAGUACGUGGUCGUAGACCCGAAACCAGGUGAUCUACCCAUGUCCAGGGUGAAGUUCAGGUAACACUGAAUGGAGGCCCGAACCCACGCACGUUGAAAAGUGCGGGGAUGAGGUGUGGGUAGCGGAGAAAUUCCAAUCGAACCUGGAGAUAGCUGGUUCUCCCCGAAAUAGCUUUAGGGCUAGCCUUAAGUGUAAGAGUCUUGGAGGUAGAGCACUGAUUGGACUAGGGGUCCUCAUCGGAUUACCGAAUUCAGUCAAACUCCGAAUGCCAAUGACUUAUCCUUAGGAGUCAGACUGCGAGUGAUAAGAUCCGUAGUCAAAAGGGAAACAGCCCAGACCGCCAGCUAAGGUCCCAAAGUGUGUAUUAAGUGGAAAAGGAUGUGGAGUUGCUUAGACAACUAGGAUGUUGGCUUAGAAGCAGCCACCAUUUAAAGAGUGCGUAAUAGCUCACUAGUCGAGUGACUCUGCGCCGAAAAUGUACCGGGGCUAAAUACACCACCGAAGCUGCGGAUUGAUACCAAUGGUAUCAGUGGUAGGGGAGCGUUCUAAGGACAGUGAAGUCAGACCGUAAGGACUGGUGGAGUGCUUAGAAGUGAGAAUGCCGGUAUGAGUAGCGAAAGACGGGUGAGAAUCCCGUCCACCGAAUGCCUAAGGUUUCCUGAGGAAGGCUCGUCCGCUCAGGGUUAGUCAGGACCUAAGCCGAGGCCGACAGGCGUAGGCGAUGGACAACAGGUUGAUAUUCCUGUACCACCUCUUUAUCGUUUGAGCAAUGGAGGGACGCAGAAGGAUAGAAGAAGCGUGCGAUUGGUUGUGCACGUCCAAGCAGUUAGGCUGAUAAGUAGGCAAAUCCGCUUAUCGUGAAGGCUGAGCUGUGAUGGGGAAGCUCCUUAUGGAGCGAAGUCUUUGAUUCCCCGCUGCCAAGAAAAGCUUCUAGCGAGAUAAAAGGUGCCUGUACCGCAAACCGACACAGGUAGGCGAGGAGAGAAUCCUAAGGUGUGCGAGAGAACUCUGGUUAAGGAACUCGGCAAAAUGACCCCGUAACUUCGGGAGAAGGGGUGCUUUCUUAACGGAAAGCCGCAGUGAAUAGGCCCAAGCGACUGUUUAGCAAAAACACAGCUCUCUGCGAAGCCGUAAGGCGAAGUAUAGGGGGUGACACCUGCCCGGUGCUGGAAGGUUAAGGAGAGGGGUUAGCGUAAGCGAAGCUCUGAACUGAAGCCCCAGUAAACGGCGGCCGUAACUAUAACGGUCCUAAGGUAGCGAAAUUCCUUGUCGGGUAAGUUCCGACCCGCACGAAAGGUGUAACGAUUUGGGCACUGUCUCAACCAGAGACUCGGUGAAAUUAUAGUACCUGUGAAGAUGCAGGUUACCCGCGACAGGACGGAAAGACCCCGUGGAGCUUUACUGUAGCCUGAUAUUGAAUUUUGGUACAGUUUGUACAGGAUAGGCGGGAGCCAUUGAAACCGGAGCGCUAGCUUCGGUGGAGGCGCUGGUGGGAUACCGCCCUGACUGUAUUGAAAUUCUAACCUACGGGUCUUAUCGACCCGGGAGACAGUGUCAGGUGGGCAGUUUGACUGGGGCGGUCGCCUCCUAAAGUGUAACGGAGGCGCCCAAAGGUUCCCUCAGAAUGGUUGGAAAUCAUUCGUAGAGUGCAAAGGCAUAAGGGAGCUUGACUGCGAGACCUACAAGUCGAGCAGGGACGAAAGUCGGGCUUAGUGAUCCGGUGGUUCCGCAUGGAAGGGCCAUCGCUCAACGGAUAAAAGCUACCCCGGGGAUAACAGGCUUAUCUCCCCCAAGAGUCCACAUCGACGGGGAGGUUUGGCACCUCGAUGUCGGCUCAUCGCAUCCUGGGGCUGUAGUCGGUCCCAAGGGUUGGGCUGUUCGCCCAUUAAAGCGGUACGCGAGCUGGGUUCAGAACGUCGUGAGACAGUUCGGUCCCUAUCCGUCGUGGGCGUAGGAAAUUUGAGAGGAGCUGUCCUUAGUACGAGAGGACCGGGAUGGACGCACCGCUGGUGUACCAGUUGUUCUGCCAAGGGCAUAGCUGGGUAGCUAUGUGCGGAAGGGAUAAGUGCUGAAAGCAUCUAAGCAUGAAGCCCCCCUCAAGAUGAGAUUUCCCAUAGCGUAAGCUAGUAAGAUCCCUGAAAGAUGAUCAGGUUGAUAGGUUCGAGGUGGAAGCAUGGUGACAUGUGGAGCUGACGAAUACUAAUAGAUCGAGGACUUAACC